UGGGGAAUUUUGGACAAUGGGCGAAAGCCUGACGCAGCCAUGCCGCGUGUAUGAUGAAGGUCUUAGGAUUGUAAAAUACUUUCACCGGUGAAGAUAAUGACUGUAGCCGGAGAAGAAGCCCCGGCUAACUUCGUGCCAGCAGCCGCGGUAAUACGAAGGGGGCUAGCGUUGCUCGGAAUUACUGGGCGUAAAGGGAGCGUAGGCGGACAUUUAAGUCAGAGGUGAAAUCCCGGAGCUUAACUUCGGAACUGCCUUUGAUACUGGGUGUCUUGAGUGUGAGAGAGGUAUGUGGAACUCCGAGUGUAGAGGUGAAAUUCGUAGAUAUUCGGAAGAACACCAGUGGCGAAGGCGACAUACUGGCUCAUUACUGACGCUGAGGCUCGAAAGCGUGGGGAGCAAACAGGAUUAGAUACCCCCGUAGUCCCUGAGCGGGCUGGCAAGGCGCAU
RNAcentral lists this ribosomal RNA (447 nucleotides) under uncultured bacterium. RNAcentral describes it as "bacterial SSU rRNA". It matches the Rfam family "Bacterial small subunit ribosomal RNA", at positions 355 to 825 of the family's 1533-position model. The record is from RNAcentral.